RNAcentral lists this ribosomal RNA (341 nucleotides) under Tetranychus urticae (two-spotted spider mite). RNAcentral describes it as "rRNA tetur11g06352". It matches the Rfam family "Eukaryotic small subunit ribosomal RNA", at positions 203 to 606 of the family's 1831-position model. Lineage: Eukaryota; Metazoa; Arthropoda; Arachnida; Trombidiformes; Tetranychidae. The record is from RNAcentral.
AUUUCUAAGGAAGUGACGUAAUUUUGAAGGAAAAACUUAGAGAAAAACUGGAAAAGUGAUGAAAUAUCAAGAGAUGUUUACUCAUCAGAGUCCAAACUGUAAGUGAGGGUUCGAUUCCGGAGAGGGAGCCUGAGAAACGGCUACCACAUCUAAGGAAGGCAGCAGGCGCGCAAAUUACACAAUCCCAGUACGGGGAUGUAGUGACGAAAAAUAACAAUACGGGACUCUAUUGAGGCCCCGUAAUUGGAAUGAGUACAAUUUAAAUCCUUUAACGAGGAUCUAUUGGAGGGCAAGUCUGGUGCCAGCAGCCGCGGUAAUUCCAGCUCCAAUAGCGUAUAUUA